UACGUAGGGUGCAAGCGUUGUCCGGAAUUAUUGGGCGUAAAGAGUUCGUAGGCGGCUUGUCGCGUCGGAUGUGAAAGCCCGGGGCUUAACUCCGGGUCUGCAUUCGAUACGGGCAGGCUAGAGUUCGGUAGGGGAGAUCGGAAUUCCUGGUGUAGCGGUGAAAUGCGCAGAUAUCAGGAGGAACACCGGUGGCGAAGGCGGAUCUCUGGGCCGAUACUGACGCUGAGGAGCGAAAGCGUGGGGAGCGAACAGG
Molecule: ribosomal RNA, 253 nt
Filed under: uncultured bacterium
Lineage: Bacteria
Description: partial 16S ribosomal RNA
Rfam family: Bacterial small subunit ribosomal RNA
Source: RNAcentral